GACGAACGCUGGCGGCGUGCUUAACACAUGCAAGUCGAACGGAAAGGCCCUGCUUUUGUGGGGUGCUCGAGUGGCGAACGGGUGAGUAGCACGUGAGUAACCUGCCCUUGACUUUGGGAUAACUUCAGGAAACUGGGGCUAAUACCGGAUAGGAGCUCCUGCUGCAUGGUGGGGGUUGGAAAGUUUCGGCGGUUGGGGAUGGACUCGCGGCUUAUCAGCUUGUUGGUGGGGUAGUGGCUUACCAAGGCUUUGACGGGUAGCCGGCCUGAGAGGGUGACCGGCCACAUUGGGACUGAGAUACGGCCCAGACUCCUACGGGAGGCAGCAGUGGGGAAUAUUGCACAAUGGGCGGAAGCCUGAUGCAGCAACGCCGCGUGCGGGAUGACGGCCUUCGGGUUGUAAACCGCUUUCGCCUGUGACGAAGCGUGAGUGACGGUAAUGGGUAAAGAAGCACCGGCUAACCACGUG
This 468-nucleotide ribosomal RNA is filed under the name uncultured bacterium. Its description in RNAcentral is "partial 16S ribosomal RNA". It matches the Rfam family "Bacterial small subunit ribosomal RNA", at positions 28 to 507 of the family's 1533-position model. The record is from RNAcentral.